GAGUGAAACAAGAGGAAGAGGGGGAAAUAUGGCGAGGAUGAUGAUGCAGGCAGAAGGAGGGGCGGUGCUGGCGAUUUUCCUCUCAAUUCUGUUAUUGUUGUCUACGUCUGUCGAUGCAGCCCAGAUUCUAACGACAGUGAAGACGGCUUACCCGGGCUCUACCUUACCACUGCCUCUUCCAAAAUCACCAGGUGGAUACAGGCGGCCUCUUAGCCUGCCUCCUAGCCCCACUAGAACAGGGCCUAGCCAUGAUCCCGCCCGGCCCAUACGUCCUCCGUGAUGCCCCUAGGAUGGAUAUCUUGAAUGGACUUCUCUGGUUGGCUUGCUCAGUUCCUCUCUUUCUCUGUUUUUCUUCCAACAGCCGGUCUGUUUGCCGAUCUGCUACAAUACUAAAAUAAAAGCAGUGAUUCCUCCUAUAUCGUCGAGGGAACCAGUUUCCUUCUUCAAUGCUGCUUAUUGUUUCUCGUGACGUAAUGAUGUGCUGAAAGAUAAAUUUUCUUCUCCGACCUGUUUUAGACUGAUGCUCAAAAAUUUGUUCGUUUCAUGUCUGAAACGGGGCUUGUG
This 564-nucleotide long non-coding RNA is filed under the name Spirodela polyrhiza (greater duckweed). RNAcentral's name for it is "long non-coding RNA (SPOL_LNC000493)". Lineage: Eukaryota; Viridiplantae; Streptophyta; Magnoliopsida; Alismatales; Araceae. The record is from RNAcentral.